RNAcentral lists this ribosomal RNA (498 nucleotides) under uncultured bacterium. RNAcentral's name for it is "partial 16S ribosomal RNA". It matches the Rfam family "Bacterial small subunit ribosomal RNA", at positions 30 to 523 of the family's 1533-position model. The record is from RNAcentral.
AUUGAACGCUGGCGGCAUGCCUUACACAUGCAAGUCGAACGGUAACAGGUCUUCGGAUGCUGACGAGUGGCGAACGGGUGAGUAAUACAUCGGAACGUGCCUAGUAGUGGGGGAUAACUACUCGAAAGAGUGGCUAAUACCGCAUGAGAUCUACGGAUGAAAGCAGGGGAUCGCAAGACCUUGUGCUACUAGAGCGGCCGAUGGCAGAUUAGGUAGUUGGUGGGAUAAAAGCUUACCAAGCCGACGAUCUGUAGCUGGUCUGAGAGGACGAUCAGCCCAACUGUGAAGGAGAGACGGCCCAGACUCCUACGGGAGGCAGCAGUGGGGAAUUUUGGACAAUGGGCGAAAGCCUGAUCCAGCAAUGCCGCGUGCAGGAUGAAGGCCUUCGGGUUGUAAACUGCUUUUGUACGGAACGAAAAGCCCCGGGUUAAUACCCUGGGGUCAUGACGGUACCGUAAGAAUAAGCACCGGCUAACUACGUGCCAGCAGCCGCCGCCG